Molecule: long non-coding RNA, 180 nt
Organism: Mustela erminea (ermine)
Lineage: Eukaryota; Metazoa; Chordata; Mammalia; Carnivora; Mustelidae
Exons: 5
Source: RefSeq, a predicted model, not a curated record
UAGACUAGUAUACAGCCUUUACUAUGUUGAGGUACCUUCUUUCUAAACCUACUUUGGAAAUAAAUGGAUGUUGUACUUUGUCAAAUGCUUUUUCUGCAUCUGUUGAAAGGGUCAUAUGGUUUGUAUCCUUUCUAUUGUUGAUGUGAUAUAACAUGUUGAUUAAUUUGUGAUUAUCAAACC